AUCCCGACCUACCCUAAAUUUUUGGCCCGGCCCUAAAUGUUUUUAUGGCCUUGGAGAAUUUUUUUUUCAACUUUUUAACAAAAAGAUGCAAAACUGCACUUUUUAUGCUUAAACAUAGCCAGUGAUGUUAGAAAUCAACUUACUGAUGCUCUAAAGGCAUAACCCCCUUAUUUGUAAUCAUUUUUUGACAAAAAAUAAUUUCCGAAAAGUCCCCCUUAAUUAAAAAAAUUUCCAAAAAAAAAAAAAAAAAAAAAUUCCGACCUACCUACCCUAAUUUUUUUUCAGCAUGUUACCGGAAACAAAGAAUUUUUUAAGACCUUAUGUAACUCAUUCAGAAGGUAUAUAGAUCUAAUAAAUAUCACUGAAUUAAUAACACCUAUUUUUACUAAUGAUAAUUGGCAGACGAUUAUAUAUGUAAAAUAUUCGCUCUACUUUUCCCUGAAAAUUCAUAUUAUUUUUCUCGUACUGUUAUCAACGAAAUUAUUGCCGCCAUAAUCAUUUCUUCCGUGUAGAAAUACGUGUAAUUAAUGAUUUCUUCAGACAUCAAAUUUACGCGCAUUAUAUCGUUAUUAAAUUGCAGAUCUCUUCCGCUCCCAAAAUGUGACCUAUCUUAUGACGUCACGAACCUGAGAUUAUUUGUCAUAGCCAGAAAGUUCCCGGGCACCCAAGAAUAUUUGAAGGAAAGAUUUAGUAGAGGAUGGUUAAGUAGUGUCGCCACAAGUAUCAAUGUAGCUGACGUUGUCAAAUAGUGAACCCAUCAUAAAGACGUAUUACAUCACAGCAUUUUACGUUUACGUUGCUGACGUCGACAGGAUUAGGAAACGUGUCACCAAAUACUAACGCCGAGAAAAUAUUCUCAAUAUUUGCUGUUCUGCUUGGUUGAUAGCCUCGUGUCUUAACUAUGCAGUGCGCCCCCUGGUGACACAUUGAUACAUCCGGAUGAUAUACAUCCAGCUUUCUGUUUAAUAGCAUGCGGUUCAUUGCAGAUUAAGUGUGACAGAAAAAAUAAUAUUAUGGCGAUAAGAGGAUGGUUAGAUACUGCAGCGACGAGAAUCAUUGCAGCUUACGUUGCCAACGCUACAGAUAGUGGACCCAGCAUAAAGACGUAUUAUAUCACAGCGUUAUAUUUUACGUUUACGUCACUGACGUCAAUAGGAUUCGGAUACAUGUCACCAAAUACUAAUGGAAUUGACAUGC
Molecule: long non-coding RNA, 1197 nt
Organism: Mercenaria mercenaria
Lineage: Eukaryota; Metazoa; Mollusca; Bivalvia; Venerida; Veneridae
Exons: 4
Source: RefSeq, a predicted model, not a curated record